UUUGAUAUGUAGUUUGCUAAUGAUGAUAAGGCCAAGUGUUUGUGAGAAGAGAGUAUGUGAGACUGAUGUCGAGUCUCAGCUAGCCUUGUGACUUGUCACAGUUUUGCAGGUGCUUGUAAUAUGCCAGAGUUUCUUAAUUAGAAGGUGCCACUGACUCCUGUUUUGCAGUCCUGGAGGUGUUGGUGUGAAUGUGUGUUUGGUUGAGGCAAAGGACGUCAAAAUAAUGUUGGGUUGACGUUGGACAUGACAUCAGACAGACGUGUCAUUGUGGUUGAGAAUGAAAAUCGGGUUGUUGAUUUUAUUUGACACCAAUUUGCAACCAAAAUUUAACCAGAUAUCAAUGUCUUAUGUUGUGUGCCUGCUGGGUUUGCUUUUUUGGAAGAAAAAGCAAGAAGCUCCUCCCCUUACCCCACCCCUAAACCUAAUCAUCAGUGGAGAGAUUGCAUGAAAACAUAAAUGCUAUUGUUCUAAUUCAUACACAUUAACUGCUAAUUUACCAAAAUAUGCAAUAGUAAUACGAAUUACAUGUGGUCCCAGCAUUUUUUCAAUUGGUUCUAAUUGGAAUGGGUUGAAACUGUUACGAUUUUCAGGACAUUUUUUGCAUGACAAACAAUUUUGGUUUUUGUGUUGGGUCGACACUUGAUGUCCAAAGUAAUGACCUGAAGCAAAACCAAUUUAGAACCACUGAUCAAGAAUAUUCUAGAAGGCAUUAGAGUGAACCGUGCAAUAAAAAUUUCCAUUCGAUAAUUCCUUUGUUUAUUAAAACCCUGUGGCACAUAAAAAAUGAAUACAUUGAAAUGGCCCUGAUGCAUAUUACUGCAAAAAUUCAAAUCAGGAUUGAAACACUAUAGGAGACCCAAGAUGUUUCUUUAAACUCUUAUCGAAUAAUACCCACUGCAUUCGUGUAAUAUCCGAUGACUCUUGUUCAUGCUGAGAUUAGAAAUUAGAAGUGAUGCCGAUACUGAAGUCCGGCUUCUGCAAACCACUAUCACAGAAACAUCUCAGACAGCUGAGAUUCAGAUCGAUAACACGCCUGUUGUAAACAAAGCUGCCCUGCUUCCCCUGGCCCAAGAGUUGCCCUGGUAUAUCAAGGCAGCUGGUGAUACUUCAAACCUUUAUAUACAGGUUUUUCAUCAUCCUCUUAAUCUCGGGAGGAAGAUGACACAGUUGGAUAAACUAAAAGGUGUGCAUCUGUAAAGGGUGUGUGUUCGUUAUCACCAAGAGAUCUGAAAGUGCUGUCUGCAGUGCUUGUUUGUCCAUACAGGGGAAGGGGACAUAUUCCCAGCCUUAUUUUCUCAUCUUUACUGGAGCAUUAAAAGCUGUGUUGGAGACCUAAAAGUUCUUUGACUCACUGUCGAACUUGAGUAUAUUGGUCCUAUCACACUCAGAUGAUGUCUGGCUCUUCCCUGAGCACCAGAAAGGUUCAUUUAAAGGUGUUAAACCCAAG
Cyprinus carpio carpio is the source of this 1447-nucleotide long non-coding RNA. The record is from Ensembl. NCBI's taxonomy places the organism in Eukaryota, Metazoa, Chordata, Actinopteri, Cypriniformes, Cyprinidae.